RNAcentral lists this long non-coding RNA (469 nucleotides) under Populus trichocarpa (black cottonwood). RNAcentral describes it as "long non-coding RNA (PTRI_LNC003964)". Lineage: Eukaryota; Viridiplantae; Streptophyta; Magnoliopsida; Malpighiales; Salicaceae. The record is from RNAcentral.
GUGGCAAUGGACCAUUAUACACUGGAGCUGGCAGUGGUGGUGGAUUAUAAACUGGAGGAGGUGGAGGUGGCAAGUAUUGAAUUGGAGGCGGUUGCGCCUGGCAUGGCGGUGGUGACGGAGGUGGAGGAGGUUCUGCACAUGAGGGAGGUGGUGGAGAUGAGUUUGGCGGAGGUGGUGAUUGAUAAAUAGGUGGCGGCGGAGGUGAAUUAGGAGGUGAGUUUGGUGGGGGUAGUGGAGGUGAGUAGAAGGGAGGAGGUGGUGGAGAUGAGUUUGGCGGAGGUGGUGAAUGAUAAAAAGGUGGCGGCGGAGGUGAAUUAGGAGGUGAGUUUGGUGGGGAUAGUGGAGGUGAGUAGAAGGGAGGAGGUGGUGGAGGUGAUGGUGGAGAUGGAACACAGUGUAUUGGGGGUGGCGGCGGCAUUGAUGAUGGAGGGGGAGGUGAGGGAAGUGCUGAUGGAGGAACUAGUGAAGG